RNAcentral lists this non-coding RNA (187 nucleotides) under pig gut metagenome. RNAcentral's name for it is "Lysine riboswitch". It matches the Rfam family "Lysine riboswitch aptamer". From Rfam's summary of the family: Riboswitches are metabolite binding domains within certain messenger RNAs that serve as precision sensors for their corresponding targets. The record is from RNAcentral.
CAGAUAGAGGUGCGAUAAAGAAAAGUAGCCCCGAACAGGCAGCCAAGCCGUCAAAUCGGGUGCGAAAGGCAAUAUCGCCGAAGGAUACGGUCAGGCAAGCCGUAAUUCUGGUUGCAUAUUUAAGAGAUAUGCAAUUGUCAUCAUACUUCCGCCGAAGUUAUACUCGGCGUUUGAUGGAGAGCUAUCG